This 270-nucleotide ribosomal RNA is filed under the name uncultured archaeon. RNAcentral describes it as "partial 16S ribosomal RNA". It matches the Rfam family "Archaeal small subunit ribosomal RNA", at positions 477 to 747 of the family's 1478-position model. The record is from RNAcentral.
CAGCACCUCAAGUGGUCAGGAUGAUUAUUGGGCCUAAAGCAUCCGUAGCCUGCUUUGUUAGUUUUCGGUUAAAUCCAUACGCUCAACGUAUGGGCUGCCGGGAAUACUGCAAAGCUAGGGAGUGGGAGAGGUAGACGGUACUCGGUAGGAAGGGGUAAAAUCCUUUGAUCUAUUGAUGACCACCUGUGGCGAAGGCGGUCUACCAGAACACGUCCGACGGUUAGGGAUGAAAGCUGGGGGAGCAAACCGGAUUAGAUACCCGAGUAGUCC